AGUAUCUCUUUUACUUUGAGAAAAUUAGAGUGUUCAAAGCAGGUUCUCGCCUGAAUAUUACUCUUGGAAUAAUACUAUAGGACUCUGGUUCUAAUUUGUUGGUGACUUGGGACCGGAGUAAUGAUUGAUAGGGACGGUUGGGGUGAUUCAUACUGCAAAGCGAGAGGUGAAAUUCUUGGACCUUUGUAUGAUGAACAACUGCGAAAGCAUUUCACUAGGACGUUCCCGUUGAUCAAGAACGAAAGUUGGGGGAUCGAAGACGAUCAGAUACCGUCGUAGUCUCAACCAUAAACUAUGCCAGCUAGGGAUGGGAAGGUGUUUACAAACGACCCUUUCCGCACCUUAUGAGAAAUCAAAGCAUUUGGGUUCCGGGGGGAGUAUGGUCGCAAGGCUGAAACUUAAAGGAAUUGACGGGAGGGCACCACCAGGAGUGGAGCCUGUGGCUUAAUUUGACUCAACACGGGAAAACUUACCAGGUCCGGACAUAGGAAGGAUUGACAGAUUGAAAGCUCUUUCUUGAUUCUAUGGGUGGUGGUGCAUGGCCGUUCUUAGUUGGUGGAGUGAUUUGUCUGGUUAAUUCCGUU
This 584-nucleotide ribosomal RNA is filed under the name Candidatus Thalassarchaeaceae archaeon. RNAcentral describes it as "SSU rRNA". It matches the Rfam family "Eukaryotic small subunit ribosomal RNA", at positions 742 to 1329 of the family's 1831-position model. The record is from RNAcentral. Lineage: Archaea; Methanobacteriati; Thermoplasmatota; Candidatus Poseidoniia; Candidatus Poseidoniales; Candidatus Thalassarchaeaceae.